CGAAGCAUAGCAUAUAAUAAUGCCUUUUACUUACACUAAAAAUAAAACAACUUGUUUACUUCGCCC
This 66-nucleotide transfer RNA is filed under the name Carpetania elisae. Its description in RNAcentral is "Hormogaster elisae tRNA-Val". Lineage: Eukaryota; Metazoa; Annelida; Clitellata; Crassiclitellata; Hormogastridae. The record is from RNAcentral.